GCUCUUCUUUCAUUAUCAUGUUUGCAUUUGCAGUCUGUUCUCCACAGUUUCUGCUUUAAUCCUAUUUGGACGGGAGGAAGUAAAAGAAUUAGGACCAUCAGAUAGUUUCAUAAGCUGUAGGGUUUUCUUUCUUGAAUCACUUGAAAAGAUAAAGGUUACAUCUCAUUGUUGUUGCGGGGCUAUUAUGUGCUUCUCCAUGCAUGCAGCAACUUACAGUUGUGGAAAACCUAGGGCAAACAUUUAGUCAAAAAAUUAAAAUACCAUAAGCGCAGUAUAUUUAAUGCACUGCUACUGCACAUGAAAACCCUAAAUUUUAUAGUUUACCAGACAUAUUUGUUCCUCUAUUAUGCAUGCAGAGCUUAUGGUAUGGUUACCUCAACUUUGCCCUUCGACAUUGAGUUGGAAUUAUAUUAUUAUACUGAUUGGAACUGUUAGGAAGACAAAGCUGUGAAAGAGUACAACUCGAACUUUUCAGGAUUCUUGUCGGUUUUCUUUUUUUUAAAAAAAAAGUCUUAGAAUUCUUUUUAUUUUUAAUUGUAUUAUUUUCUCAAUAAAAGAUUUUACUAAAAAAUAGUUUUAGUUUUCUUUUUUUCUUUUAAAAAAUCAAACCCAAGUGCCACAGUAGCAAUAGCAUUAAGUAAUUAUUAUUAUUAUUUUACUAAUUUAUUAAAACAUUGUCUUUUCUCUCUUGAGAUUUUCCUAAUCAUUUUUAAAAAUAAUUUUAAAAAAAAUGAAAAAAAAAAGAAGGAAUGUCUAUAGGAAGAUCUAGCAAUGGCGGGUGUAGAUUCCAUGAAAUGCCAAAUCAAGUAUGAAGAGCAUGAGGGUGAGCUGUUAUGUUCUAGCAUAUUUGUUUGAUUAUGGAAAAGAACAGUUUCACAAAUUCUGCAAAGAGCUGAAGAGGGAUAAGGGAAGAACCUGUUACUGAUAAUUACAGGAAAUGGAGAAUUGCUCGUGGAGGAUUGAUUGGCAUGGUUAAAUCCUUUUUUGGAUUGUUAACUCUGUCCCCUUGAUCAAUCUUUUUUUUUUUUUGCCCCCCCAAUAGUAUUCUACUGUUGGUAUUCUUUCAGUUAUUAGCUCACUGUCCUUGAGGAGCUUAUUUUUUUACAUAGAUGUAAAGGAAUGGAUUUGAGUUUUCAAAUAUUGAACUCGAGCUCAGAUCGAAAUAGAUGAGCUUAAUGUCACGAGUUAGGAUACGGAGCAAAAAAUUAUCCGUGCGACACUUAGCAAGUUUCGGUAACGAAAUGCUAAGUAAGCUUUGAAUUGCAAAUAUUGACGCGUUGCUGCACUAGGCUGGUGUGCUGGCCUGCGAGAUGAGUCAAUUGGCCUACUAGGCCAACGAUGGAUAUCACUUGGCCCGCUGGGGCUGCAAGGGAUGGUGCCUGAUGCGUAUCUAUUGGGCUGUUCCAUCCAACUAGCUGGCCCGUCCAACGAAG
This 1433-nucleotide long non-coding RNA is filed under the name Ricinus communis (castor bean). RNAcentral describes it as "long non-coding RNA (RCOM_LNC002272)". The record is from RNAcentral. Lineage: Eukaryota; Viridiplantae; Streptophyta; Magnoliopsida; Malpighiales; Euphorbiaceae.